Molecule: transfer RNA, 73 nt
Filed under: Gammaproteobacteria bacterium
Lineage: Bacteria; Pseudomonadati; Pseudomonadota; Gammaproteobacteria
Description: tRNA-Met
Rfam family: tRNA
About the family: Transfer RNA (tRNA) molecules are approximately 80 nucleotides in length. Their secondary structure includes four short double-helical elements and three loops (D, anti-codon, and T loops). Further hydrogen bonds mediate the characteristic L-shaped molecular structure. tRNAs have two regions of fundamental functional importance: the anti-codon, which is responsible for specific mRNA codon recognition, and the 3' end, to which the tRNAs corresponding amino acid is attached (by aminoacyl-tRNA synthetases). tRNAs cope with the degeneracy of the genetic code in two manners: having more than one tRNA (with a specific anti-codon) for a particular amino acid; and 'wobble' base-pairing, i.e. permitting non-standard base-pairing at the 3rd anti-codon position.
Source: RNAcentral
GGGAAAUUAGCUCAGUGGGUAGAGCAUCAGACCCAUAAUCUGACUGUCGCAAGUUCGACUCUUGCAUUUCCGA